Monomorium pharaonis (pharaoh ant) is the source of this 4745-nucleotide long non-coding RNA. RefSeq lists it as uncharacterized. The transcript has 4 exons. NCBI's taxonomy places the organism in Eukaryota, Metazoa, Arthropoda, Insecta, Hymenoptera, Formicidae. The record is from RefSeq and is a predicted model, not a curated record.
AAUAGUUUUAAAAUUAUUUUAUAUUAUUAUAUUUAAAAUUUAUAUUUGACAAUAAAAUUAUUCAAAAAAUUACAAGAACAUUCCAUCGUGCAUGUGCUUAUAAAGAUAAGUAGAAUUCGUUUGUGUCGACCGAGUACUUUGUGCCUGACGAUCUGAGGAGAAAGCAAAAGCCAGUAUUCAUAGUCGGAUCUUAUAUUUAAGAUUAUCUUAAGUACUUUCUUAAGAUGCCAUCAACUAAUAACAGAGCCGUAUUAGCAUCUUAAGGUUUGAGACGAUCUUUAAAUAAGAUUCGACUAUGAAUACCAGCCAAAGAUUAGUUCUAUCUAUGGUGAUCUAUGGUGGAGUUAAGCCCUUGUCUAGUGCGUGGUUAAUUUAAGUCUUUUUCGGGCGCGCGAGUGCUUAUGAAUAUAUUUCACCGACCAAAUUUUUAAACGUACUUUUGUGAUAACUUUUUGUGAGUACUUUUUGAUACAUAAAUUACUCCGGAUUUUGCGUCGCUGUGUGACUCUAUUCACUCUAACAUGGGAAAUAUAACCUCUAAAUGACAGUUUCCUCGAUGUGCUGAACUAUAUAAACAAUUUAUUUCCCAUAGAGCAGUCACUGUCAAAUAUCGAUGAGGUGGUGAAUAAUAUAGAAAAUAAAACAUUAUUGAUAGGACUCAUGAUAGCAAUCCUGUGCUCGCUGGACAACAAGCAGUCAUCCGAAGAAUUUCAGAUGAUAUGUGUACCAUUUAUCUAUCUACCAAAAUUUGAAUUGCAAGCCUAACAUGCGAUCAACUGGAGCCUGUGGUACCUUGGCGAUCGAAUUAAAGUGAUACUAAGUGAAGACCGUGAAGCUGUUGGCACUUCACUUUCGAUCAUUUGCAUAUGCUAGUGGAAGGAGUAGAUAAUCUAAAAGUAUUAAUACAAGGAAACAAUAUGGAGAAAUUAUUGUACCAUUGCAAGGAGUGAUGCAGAUGAUGCAACAUUUUAACAGCUACAUGGACAUAUCACAAGUGAAGCAAUUAUCUGAUCUUUAUGAGCAAUCUGAGCAAUUAUCUGAUUUAACUCGUGCCCUACAAACAUUUUAUAUUAGAUUGAUUUCAAAAGUAAUUUAGUUACACUACUUUUUUCCUAAAAUAAAGGUAGUGAUUGUGGCACAGUGACUUGUGUGUCUGCUCUCUGAUUACAUGGUUUUGAAUCCAAGUCUCGGGCAGAGAGCAGACACACAACUCACUGCGUCACAAUUGUUUGUAUGGAUAAAGUGCUUUUUUUAUAUUAUAUUAUAAGAGCUAAUAAUUAAUAGAAUUGUUUCUUUGAUUAAGUAUUUUAUCUUUGUUUGAACAAAGGAUUCAUCAGAUUCAGCAUAAGUUGGCCUAGCAGAUUACAACGGAUUUCAAACAGGCCUUUUCAAGUCAAAAUCCAAAGCAUUUCAACCAGUUAACGGAGGGAUGUUUAAUACUAAAAAGUUCGAAAAGAACUCUCUGUGCUGUCUGGGAUAUUUAUUAAAAUCUAACCUAACCUAACCUAAUCUAAUCUACAAUUAAAAACCUGUCUAAAAACACUUACUAAAAGAUGACUUAAGGUGACUAAUUUUAGACAUCUUUCAUUUGUCUUAAAGAUGACUAAAAGAUGUCUAAAAUUAGUCACCUUAAAGUCAUCUUUUGGACAAGGUUUAAAAGUUGAUUUAAAGCGGGUCAUGAGCCGACUUUUAGUCAACUUUUAAACCUUGUCCAAAAGAUGACUUUAAGGUUUAGUUGACUAUACGCUCUGACUAAAAGAUGUCUUGGACUAAAAUAUGACUAGUUUUAGGAUCCUUUUAGACGACUUGGUGCUGUCUGGGAAGCAAUUAUAUUAUUUCAAAAAUAUAUGUAAUAUUUGAAGACUAAUAAUUUCCCUCCAAGUUCUGCAAAUAUGGAGAGAUAUGAGCAGAGAACUGAAUGGAAGAUAGAAACGUGCAGUUUACACGCACGUAAGAGAAAAUAGAAAUGGCAAUCUUGAAGCGGCUCGUCAGUUUUCAGGUAUACAUAUUCAACCUCCAACACUAAUGACAUGAUUAAUUUCAUGGAAGAUGAUACCAUGAGGAAUUGUCAAAAGAUUCUGAAUUAGCAAAAUCUUAUUACGAAGACGAAAACGAAGAUGCUGAUGUUCCUCUGGUGCUUUCACCUACUGAGUGGGAACAGAUAAAGCCAGAUUCUUCUUCUAAAUAUCAAAAGAAAUUGAAACCACGAGUUUUGUCAAAUGUAAUUACCAAAGCAUUUUGGAAUAUGUAUAAAUUCCAAUGUGCUUUUUUUGGUAAAUGGUCUUACGUGUGCAUGGACUGUAAGAACGUAAAUGAAAAUGAUGUCGUUAGAUCUUCCUCUGACUUUUAAAGUUCAAAGGAUUAUGUAAAAGCAAGAAAUGUAAUAAUAAAAUUGUUGGCGUUGCUGACGAAAAACCAGUCAAUGGAAAACUACAUUUAAUAAUUACAACACGUGAUACUCGUAAUGAUUAUCAUGAAGAAGUUAAGAGACCAUUAAAUGGUCCCGAAAGAAAAAUUAUUGGACGAGAAUUAAAACGAAAAGAAGCUGCAGGAUAUCGACAGAAAUUACUUGCAGAGAAUAUGGAAUUUGGAAAGAAUAAAUCUCCUUGGUUACAAAAAUGUCAUAUUUACAGACGAGCGAAGAUGGAAUACAACAAUGAAGAACUUGACAUAAAUCAGGUGUGAAAAUGGACAUGAUAACAAGCAUUCGCAAUAUGCUACAAAACACCCGAUACGGCAAUUCUAUUCGAGAUAUUGGAACAAAAAAAUUUUACGUCUUUUACUGUAGUCCAGAACAAAUUUUUAUAGAAAAAGAAUACUGUCGAGUAAAAAAAAAUUUUGCGAAUUUGUUUAGAUGCCACGAGGAAAGUGGUAAAAAAAUUUGAAAUUUUUUUAGGGCAAAAAACUGGCCACAUAUUAUUACACGAUUACUAUCAAUUUUAAGGGUAAAACUCUUUUUGUAUACCAAAUGUUAUCGGAAAAACAUGACGCAGCCUUCAUUACAUUUUGGCUUCAAGAAUGGAUACGAACAUGUGGAGCGAUAAUACCAGGCGAAGCUACAGCUGAUCUAGGACGUGCUUUAUUAUUAGCUAUAUGUUAAGCACUUAAUCGCAUGACACUAAAAGAAUACGUUGACGUUUUUUUAAAAUGCGCAACGAAAAAUGGACAUAAAUCACCCGGCCAUUUAACACUUUAAUAAGAGCGGACAUGGCUCAUCAAAUUGCGGCUGUCACUAUGUGGAAAUGUAUUAAAGAUCUACGUCAUUCUGUUGUUAAAAGUUUUUAUCUUCGUACUAUUGCUUUAAUGAUUGACUGUUAAACAGUGUAAGAAUUUGAAUACGUAUUUCAACUGACAAGCAUUAUUGCAUUACAUCCUGACCAAGAUGAUAGUGUUAAAAAAACAAAUGUCAGUUUUUCAAACUAGACGCCUUUUAGAAUAUAUAUCUGAACGUGAACAGAUCAUUGCAAAAUUGGAGACAUCGAUAGAAAAUGUCAAAAUUGAUGAUGAAGUUGAAAAUACUUUCAAUUUAAUUGAAGAAAAAGAUGAUAAAAGUUUAACCGCCACUCAUCGAUGGAUCAAAAAACUUAUUUCAAUCUCCACACCUUCUGAUCAGCAAAAAAUAGAAUGCAAGAGUGUAAAUGGUUUUUAUUUUCCGGAAUUUAUACAAUCACUUGAACGAAUUGCCAAAGAGUUUCCAAUAUGGACUACAGCAGCUCUCCCUGGUAGACAAAUGCAUGUAUCAACAGCGUUUCAGGAAGGAUAUUUUGCUGAAAUGCGGAAAAUAAUUUUUGAGGAUAUCACUUUACCGUGUUCUGCAAUUCGAUUUUUAAAAGAGCACAUUGAUAACUUGCAUUUUGGUAGUAAUGAAGUAGUAGCGAAGUUAAAGCAUUUUAACCAUAAUUUCUGCGUUACCAUAGUAUCUGCGUUUACAUCAGAGAAGAAAGAAUUACGGCCUUCUACGCAAAAAUCUGACAUAGCUCUACAUUCACUUACUAAUAAAUCAAAAUCGGCUUCGCGACAAGUUAAUUUAACAUUGUGUUUACUUGAAAAUUCAAGAUCUUUUAUAGAAAAGCCUAUAUGAGCUUCAUGUUUAUCGAACAGGGAAUUGGAAAACAUACAAGAUCUAAGUCUAGCUCUAUGUGCAGAUAAUUGAGAAUUUCAAAUCUCGCAAAAAUCCAGAACAACUCUAUGUACGUUAAGCGAAAGACCAACAUCUAUUUUGAAAACAUCAGCAGGAUAUACAGAUGUGCAUAUUGAUUCAAUAAAUUUAUUGUGUCAGAAGGCCCGUAUAGUGAAUAACUCUGAUUUAAAUUUUUAUACUUUGGUCGACUUCGAUAAUGUUCGACUAAUGGUUCAGCUCAUCGCGACGUAGUUGAGACUGACAGAAUUAGCUGAAGUACAUGUAGCCCCUCCCCCCUUAUCGCAAUUUUUAGAUACCUCUCUCAGAAAGCUCCGUCUCCAUAUUUCUUUGUCUAUGCAGUUGACGUGAAAAACACUUGAUGUGAAAAAAAUGAAUGCUACAAUUAUUAUACAUACAGUGCAUCACACACUGUACGUGACGCGCUCAAAAUUAUUUUUUAUUUAUAACUUUAUUUUUUUUAACUACGUACUAUCUCUUCGAUUGUUUUGAAACUUGCUUCUGUUAUUUUAGAGUAUUUACAGAUUUUCCAGGAAAAAAUGGUGAGAGUGCCUCACGUGCAUCUCAUAAAGAAAAUUAAAAAAUAAUUUAAAAAAUUUUUUUGACC